RNAcentral lists this transfer RNA (93 nucleotides) under Streptosporangium carneum. Its description in RNAcentral is "tRNA-Val". Lineage: Bacteria; Bacillati; Actinomycetota; Actinomycetes; Streptosporangiales; Streptosporangiaceae. The record is from RNAcentral.
AGGCCUCUCGGCGGGCGGCGCGUCCAGCGCCCUGACCAGGCGCUCCAGGUCGUGCAUGAGCUGCUCGGUGCGUUCCGUGCCGAACGCGGCCUC